UAGGGAAUCUUCGGCAAUGGGGGGAACCCUGACCGAGCAACGCCGCGUGAGUGAAGAAGGUUUUCGGAUCGUAAAGCUCUGUUGUUAAGGAAGAACGAGUGUGAGAAUGGAAAGUUCAUACUGUGACGGUACUUAACCAGAAAGGGACGGCUAACUACGUGCCAGCAGCCGCGGUAAUACGUAGGUCCCGAGCGUUGUCCGGAUUUAUUGGGCGUAAAGCGAGCGCAGGCGGUUAGAUAAGUCUGAAGUUAAAGGCAGUGGCUCAACCAUUGUAGGCUUUGGAAACUGUUUAACUUGAGUGCAGAAGAGGAGAGUGGAAUUCCAUGUGUAGCGGUGAAAUGCGUAGAUAUAUGGAGGAACACCAGUGGCGAAGGCGACUCUCUGGUCUGUAACUGACGCUGAGGUUCGAAAGCGUGGGUAGCAAACAGG
Molecule: ribosomal RNA, 429 nt
Filed under: Bacteroidota bacterium
Lineage: Bacteria; Pseudomonadati; Bacteroidota
Description: Bacteroidetes bacterium partial 16S ribosomal RNA
Rfam family: Bacterial small subunit ribosomal RNA
Source: RNAcentral